GUGGGGAAUAUUGGACAAUGGGCGAAAGCCUGAUCCAGCCAUGCCGCGUGAGUGAUGAAGGCCCUAGGGUUGUAAAGCUCUUUUACCUGGGAAGAUAAUGACUGUACCAGGAGAAUAAGCCCCGGCUAACUUCGUGCCAGCAGCCGCGGUAAUACGAAGGGGGCUAGCGUUGUUCGGAAUCACUGGGCGUAAAGCGCACGUAGGCGGAUCUUUAAGUCAGAGGUGAAAUCCCGGAGCUCAACUUCGGAACUGCCUUUGAUACUGGGGAUCUCGAGUCCGGGAGAGGUGAGUGGAACUGCGAGUGUAGAGGUGAAAUUCGUAGAUAUUCGCAAGAACACCAGUGGCGAAGGCGGCUCACUGGCCCGGUACUGACGCUGAGGUGCGAAAGCGUGGGGAGCAAACAGGAUUAGAAACCCUAGUAGUCC
RNAcentral lists this ribosomal RNA (425 nucleotides) under uncultured bacterium. RNAcentral's name for it is "bacterial SSU rRNA". It matches the Rfam family "Bacterial small subunit ribosomal RNA", at positions 354 to 796 of the family's 1533-position model. The record is from RNAcentral.